CUCGUGGUCUCCGUCGCAUCUGCUUUUGUUGCAUCCAUUCCAGAGCUUUCUAGUCGAGGACAUGGACAGCUUGCUUGGGAAACACCUCUUCGUGGUGGUUGCUGCCACACUCGCUGCACUGAUUAUGGGCCCAAACGAAGCUGAGGCAAUUCCAAGCUUUAUCACGGACGCUCUUGCAAAGGCCAUUGGACGAAAUGAAGAAAAUGACGAGUAGCGAAGCGCCAGUGUUGGCGAUAGAGUGUGGGCGAUCUGCGUUCCAUUGACGGCGCCUGCUUCGUAACUGAAUAAAAUGAAUGAAGCAAAAAUUGGCCUGGAAUGAAUAAACAA
Long non-coding RNA from Dermacentor andersoni, 327 nucleotides. RefSeq lists it as uncharacterized. Lineage: Eukaryota; Metazoa; Arthropoda; Arachnida; Ixodida; Ixodidae. The record is from RefSeq and is a predicted model, not a curated record.